AUUCGAUCCAGGGGCUGGUCAUCAAGAUGGAGCAGGGUAUAGAGAAGCCAUUAGGGAUGAUACAGAACACCACCAAAGGAGCUCCUUCUGGGAUUCUCUAUUGGCUGAACUCAGCCAGAAGCUGCCAAGGGAGACCCCCACAACUGGAUGCAGCCCACUGAAGUCAGCUUCCUGGGGUGCGUAGCUGAAGGUAGCAGGGAGCAAAAAGAAUCUGAAGGGGAAGUGAACAAUGUAGAGCGUAUCUGUGCUGAAGACGUAAGGAGAGAGUGGAGGUCAGAAGCUGGCAUGGUCCCUGGUGCAUGUAUCAGCCGCUAAAGCUGGAGUGGAUGAAUCAGAACUUUCCCCAUGGGAGCAUUUAUAAAAAGGGGACACCCAGCGCAGAAGAUGUUUUCCAGGGAGAUCUCGGGGAGCCCAACAAGCCAAGAAGAGCAGAGCAAAGCAUUCCAAGGAAGGACUCUAAGUCUGCAACCGAGCACACACGAGCACAAGGAAAGACCAUGUGAAUACACAGCAAGAACGUGGUGCUCUGCAAGUCAGAAACAGACCCGUCAUCAGACACCAAAUCAGCCAGCACCUUGAUCUAGGAUUUCUGGCCUCCAAAACAGUGAGAAAAUAAAAUUCUGUUGUUUAAGCCAUGCAGCCUGUUGUAUUUCAUUAUGGCAGCCUGAGCAGAAUAAGACAGGUAUAUACAAAUGCAA
RNAcentral lists this long non-coding RNA (698 nucleotides) under Homo sapiens (human). Its description in RNAcentral is "HSALNT0405454". The record is from RNAcentral. Lineage: Eukaryota; Metazoa; Chordata; Mammalia; Primates; Hominidae.